UACGGAGGGGGCAAGCGUUGUUCGGAAUUACUGGGCGUAAAGGGCGCGUAGGCGGUCUUUCAAGUCCCGUGUGAAAUCCCUCGGCUCAACUGAGGAACUGCACGGGAAACUGUUUGGCUUGAGUUCGGGAGAGGGAAGCGGAAUUCCGGGUGUAGCGGUGAAAUGCGUAGAUAUCCGGAGGAACACCGGUGGCGAAGGCGGCUUCCUGGACCGACACUGACGCUGAGGCGCGAAAGCUAGGGGAGCAAACGGG
This 253-nucleotide ribosomal RNA is filed under the name uncultured bacterium. Its description in RNAcentral is "partial 16S ribosomal RNA". It matches the Rfam family "Bacterial small subunit ribosomal RNA", at positions 524 to 776 of the family's 1533-position model. The record is from RNAcentral.